This 62-nucleotide transfer RNA is filed under the name Tropilaelaps mercedesae. RNAcentral describes it as "tRNA-Asp". Lineage: Eukaryota; Metazoa; Arthropoda; Arachnida; Mesostigmata; Laelapidae. The record is from RNAcentral.
GAAAAAUUAGUUAAAAUUAUAACAUUGAAUCGUCAAUUCAAAAUUGUAAAUUACAUUUUUCU